This is a small RNA of Lentisphaera araneosa HTCC2155, 46 nucleotides long. It matches the Rfam family "Acido-Lenti-1 RNA". The record is from Rfam. Lineage: Bacteria; Pseudomonadati; Lentisphaerota; Lentisphaeria; Lentisphaerales; Lentisphaeraceae.
CCUAGCCCUUACGGGCCAGGCUAAAUUAUGCCGUGCUUUCAGCACU